GACGAACGCUGGCGGCGUGCUUAACACAUGCAAGUCGAACGGAGUGGCGAACGGGUGAGUAACGCGUAAGCAACCUGCUCUUGAGAGGGGGACAACAGUUGGAAACGACUGCUAAAACCGAUCAGUGAAGGAGGGGAUUACGUCGGAUUAGCUAGUUGGAGGGGUAACGGGCCACCAAGGGGAUGAUCAGUAGCCGGUCUGAGAGUGUGAACGGCCACAUUGGGACUGAGACACGGCCCAGACUCCUACGGGAGGCAGCAGUGGGGAAUCUGCCGCAAUGGACGAAAGUCUGACGGAGCAACGCCGCGUGAGUUAUGACGGCCUUCGGGUUGUAAAGCUCUGUUAAUCGGGACGCGGUACCGGAAUAGAAAGCCACGGCUAACUACGUGCCAGCAGCCGCGGUAAUAC
RNAcentral lists this ribosomal RNA (408 nucleotides) under uncultured bacterium. RNAcentral describes it as "partial 16S ribosomal RNA". It matches the Rfam family "Bacterial small subunit ribosomal RNA", at positions 28 to 526 of the family's 1533-position model. The record is from RNAcentral.